Molecule: ribosomal RNA, 389 nt
Filed under: uncultured bacterium
Lineage: Bacteria
Description: bacterial SSU rRNA
Rfam family: Bacterial small subunit ribosomal RNA
Source: RNAcentral
GACGAACGCUGGCGGCGUGCCUAAUACAUGCAAGUCGAGCGAAUUUAUGGGAGCUUGCUCCCGUAAAUUAGCGGCGGACGGGUGAGUAACACGUGGGCAACCUGCCUAUAAGACUGGGAUAACUUCGGGAAACCGGAGCUAAUACCGGAUAAUUCCUUUCCUCACAUGGGGGAAGGCUGAAAGAUGGUUUACGCUAUCACUUAUAGAUGGGCCCGCGGCGCAUUAGCUAGUUGGUGAGGAACGGCUCACCAAGGCAACGAUGCGUAGCCGACCUGAGAGGGUGAUCGGCCACACUGGGACUGAGACACGGCCCAGACUCCUACGGGAGCAGCAGUGGGAAUAUGGACAAUGGCGCAAGCCUGAUCCAGCGAUGCCGCGUGUGUGAAGAA